AUGGAUGCCGCCGCCCGCAAGAGAUCCCGGCCGGAGUCCGCCAACGGAGGCGCCGCAGGCGGGAAGCGCUCGAGAGAAUCGGAGUCACAACAAACUGGUCUAUCAAGCAAAUCGAAGCCUUGCACCAAGUUUUUCAGCACUGUUGGGUGCCCCUUUGGUGAGGGAUGUCACUUUGCGCACUUUGUCCCUGGUGGAUACCAGGCAGUAUCAAAAUCACACAGCCUAGGCCAUGCUGCUGUGUCUGCACCGUCAAGAGCUCCUGCGGAUCAUGCUGCUUCUGGUGUCAAAACACGCAUGUGCACCAAGUACAACACUGCAGAAGGCUGCAAGUUUGGUGACAAGUGCCAUUUCGCCCAUGGCGAGAGGGAGCUUGGCAGGGCACCAUCCUCCUACAUGUCCCAGGAAAGUUCCUAUGCUCCUCCUAUGGGUGGUCGAUAUGGAGGUCGGCACGAACCACCUCCGCCAGCUUCGAUGGGCCCUCCAGCUGGAAACUUUGGCGCCUCGUCCACCUGCAAGGUCAGUGUUGAUGCUGCUCUCGCCGGAGGCAUCAUCGGGAAGGGUGGGGUCAACACGAAGCAGAUCUGCCGCAUCACGGGGGUCAAGCUCUCGAUACGCGACCACGAAUCAAACCCAGACCUGAAGAACAUUGAGCUGGAAGGCAGUUUUGACCAGAUAAAGCAAGCCAACGACAUGGUGCGUGAUCUCAUUGCCAGCAUCAGCGCCAGCACGCCGUCGAAGAACCCUGCAGGCGCAGCGGCUCCCGCAGUCCGAGGCGGCGGCGGCGGUGGGCCUGGAGGCAGGAGCAACUACAAGACCAAGAUAUGCGAGAACUUCCUCAAGGGCACCUGCACGUUCGGCGAGCGCUGCCACUUCGCCCACGGCGAGACCGAGCAGCGGAAGGGUGCUGCCGUCUGA
This 915-nucleotide ribosomal RNA is filed under the name Triticum aestivum (bread wheat). RNAcentral describes it as "partial small subunit ribosomal RNA". The record is from RNAcentral. Lineage: Eukaryota; Viridiplantae; Streptophyta; Magnoliopsida; Poales; Poaceae.